Molecule: long non-coding RNA, 400 nt
Filed under: Equus asinus (donkey)
Lineage: Eukaryota; Metazoa; Chordata; Mammalia; Perissodactyla; Equidae
Description: lncRNA (ENSEASG00005028836.1)
Source: RNAcentral
UCAUCAUUAGGAUUAUGAUUACCAUUGUUUUCAACAAUGGAAAUAGUCUCCAUUUCUUGAGUGUUUACCACGAACUACGUGCUGUAUAUAUAUUGUCACAUUUUAUCUUUGCUUGUGGUCCUAGAGACAUUGAUAGUGAAACUCUGUUUUAAAGAUGAGACGAUGGAAGCUCAAGUAACCUGCCCAAGGUCACACAAUUGUGGCCUCUCAAACCUGACUGCAAGGAAGGUUGGGAGAUGGUUUAGCUGUGUGCCCAGGACAGCCACGAGGAUGACUCUUCACCCUGGAUUUAGGUUCCCAGAAACCGCAAAGUGAGGUUCACCAGCUGCCUCUGAGACUCACAAAAUAAUGACAGAAGAGUCUGACUUGAUGUUCUAGCAGGUUGAAGAGGCAGGGGAAG